GGUAGGGUGGCCGAGAGUGUAGGCGGCGGGUUGUAGCCCUGAAGACAGAGGUUUAAGUCCUCUCCCUAUCA
This 71-nucleotide transfer RNA is filed under the name Alepocephalus longiceps. RNAcentral describes it as "tRNA-Tyr". It matches the Rfam family "tRNA". From Rfam's summary of the family: Transfer RNA (tRNA) molecules are approximately 80 nucleotides in length. The record is from RNAcentral. Lineage: Eukaryota; Metazoa; Chordata; Actinopteri; Alepocephaliformes; Alepocephalidae.